GUCGGUUUUAACCUUUUUUUUAAAAACUUUUUUUUAAAUUUUCCUAACAACCGGACGCCAUUUUGUUUAGUCAGUGCUUCCACAUUCAAAGAUAUAUUUCCCUAAUAUUGCCUCAAAUUUCCAUUUUUCACAAACGUUUUCCUCUAAGUGGAAACACUUACAAACAUGAUCCAAUAAAAAAGUUUAGGGUCGGGAUUUCGGCGUCCAAAAGCUAGGUAGGGUCGGG
Molecule: non-coding RNA, 226 nt
Organism: Paramuricea clavata
Lineage: Eukaryota; Metazoa; Cnidaria; Anthozoa; Malacalcyonacea; Plexauridae
Source: the annotation of a GenBank genome assembly